This is a small nuclear RNA of Rhododendron vialii, 107 nucleotides long. Lineage: Eukaryota; Viridiplantae; Streptophyta; Magnoliopsida; Ericales; Ericaceae. The record is from RefSeq and is a predicted model, not a curated record.
UAUUGUCUCAGUCCAGUAUCAUAUAUAAUUGGGAACUGCAGAAAGAGGAUUAGCAUGGUCCUUGCACAAGAAUGAUAUGCAUUACCAGUAAUGCUCGGUAUUUUAAU